AUUGAACGCUGGCGGCAGGCCUAACACAUGCAAGUCGAACGGUAACAGGAAGAAGCUUGCUUCUUUGCUGACAAGUGGCGGACGGGUGAGUAAUGUCUGGGAAACUGCCUGAUGGAGGGGGAUAACUACUGGAAACGGUAGCUAAUACCGCAUAACGUCGCAAGACCAAAGAGGGGGACCUUCGGGCCUCUUGCCAUCGGAUGUGCCCAGAUGGGAUUAGCUAGUAGGUGGGGUAACGGCUCACCUAGGCGACGAUCCCUAGCUGGUCUGAGAGGAUGACCAGCCACACUGGAACUGAGACACGGUCCAGACUCCUACGGGAGGCAGCAGUGGGGAAUAUUGCACAAUGGGCGCAAGCCUGAUGCAGCCAUGCCGCGUGUAUGAAGAAGGCCUUCGGGUUGUAAAGUACUUUCAGCGGGGAGGAAGGGAGUAAAGUUAAUACCUUUGCUCAUUGACGUUACCCGCAGAAGAAGCACCGGCUAACUCCGUG
RNAcentral lists this ribosomal RNA (490 nucleotides) under uncultured bacterium. RNAcentral's name for it is "partial 16S ribosomal RNA". It matches the Rfam family "Bacterial small subunit ribosomal RNA", at positions 30 to 507 of the family's 1533-position model. The record is from RNAcentral.